GUUUUUAGAACACCUUUUAUUGAUUAAGCAGUUAACAGCUUCAAGCUGUAAUUAUUAAUAGCGGGUAUCAGCUCUCACAAUAUAUUUACCUAUUUCUGCAGCCAGACAGACACAUGCACAGUCAUUCACAGCUGCCUGGUUGCAGCUGGGAUCCCAAUACCAGCUGGAUACUUGAAAGCAGAGGAUCAGACCAUCAUCAUGCCAAUGGCUUUGCAAGUCCGUAAAGAGCGAUCACAGACGCUGCCCAACCUUUCCAGCAUGUGAGAAGAGUGGAUCUUUUUUUGCUUCAGUGUAUCAUGCUGAGGAGGAACAGUCAUUCCACAUGUUUUUCCUUCCUCUUGAACACUGAGGUUUUGACUGUACUGGCUGCCAACAGAGCUGAGGUGCUUACACAAGCUGUGGAUCUUCAGGAUAUGCAUUAUUUAUAUAUAUCACUAAUCACAUGGUGGAAACCAGCAUUUAGCUAGAAUUCAAUCUAUCUUUCACUUAGCUGUCGUAAAAGCGAACUGCGGAUGUGCAGUUGCGAUUGCUCUGUGCAAGUAUCGUUGCUCUCUUGUAAGAGGAAAGGUACUGUGCUGCAAAAAGUCCAUCACCUUCAGC
RNAcentral lists this long non-coding RNA (600 nucleotides) under Numida meleagris (helmeted guineafowl). Its description in RNAcentral is "lncRNA (ENSNMEG00000021074.1)". The record is from RNAcentral. Lineage: Eukaryota; Metazoa; Chordata; Aves; Galliformes; Numididae.